This 254-nucleotide ribosomal RNA is filed under the name uncultured bacterium. RNAcentral describes it as "partial 16S ribosomal RNA". It matches the Rfam family "Bacterial small subunit ribosomal RNA", at positions 524 to 776 of the family's 1533-position model. The record is from RNAcentral.
CACGUAGGGUGCGAGCGUUGUCCGGAAUUAUUGGGCGUAAAGAGCUCGUAGGCGGUGUGUCGCGUCGGCCGUGAAAACCUGCAGCUUAACUGUGGGCGUGCGGUCGAUACGGGCAUCACUGGAGUUCGGCAGGGGAGACUGGAAUUCCUGGUGUAGCGGUGAAAUGCGCAGAUAUCAGGAGGAACACCGGUGGCGAAGGCGGUUCUCUGGGAAUAUCCUGACGCUGAGGAGCGAAAGCAUGGGGAGCGAACAGG